Molecule: transfer RNA, 78 nt
Filed under: Gammaproteobacteria bacterium
Lineage: Bacteria; Pseudomonadati; Pseudomonadota; Gammaproteobacteria
Description: tRNA-Pro
Rfam family: tRNA
About the family: Transfer RNA (tRNA) molecules are approximately 80 nucleotides in length. Their secondary structure includes four short double-helical elements and three loops (D, anti-codon, and T loops). Further hydrogen bonds mediate the characteristic L-shaped molecular structure. tRNAs have two regions of fundamental functional importance: the anti-codon, which is responsible for specific mRNA codon recognition, and the 3' end, to which the tRNAs corresponding amino acid is attached (by aminoacyl-tRNA synthetases). tRNAs cope with the degeneracy of the genetic code in two manners: having more than one tRNA (with a specific anti-codon) for a particular amino acid; and 'wobble' base-pairing, i.e. permitting non-standard base-pairing at the 3rd anti-codon position.
Source: RNAcentral
CGGGGUAUAGCGCAGUCUGGUAGCGCGCUUGCUUUGGGAGCAAGAUGUCGGNNGUUCAAAUCCUCUCUNCCCCGACCA